Neopsephotus bourkii (Bourke's parrot) is the source of this 848-nucleotide long non-coding RNA. RefSeq lists it as uncharacterized. Lineage: Eukaryota; Metazoa; Chordata; Aves; Psittaciformes; Psittacidae. The record is from RefSeq and is a predicted model, not a curated record. The transcript is spliced from 3 exons.
CCUUGCUCCCUGAGACCGCCCUUCAGGCCCCACGGCUUGCUUUUUCCAGGGCUCUAGAAAUGCAGAAAUAUAGGAAAGCCUCUGCAGGGCCGGCCGCUGACGCAGCUUCCCCGGUGCCCUAGCCAAGGUUAUUUAGCAGCGAAUUUCCCCAGGCAUGACACGACUGACACAGGCACCCUUUCUGACCGGGCUGUUCACAUCAGUCCCUGCCAAAAUACUUGCAAUGCUGGAGAGCGGUGCUGCUGAGAUAGGGAACGGUUUCUGAAAGAAAGACUUAGCGUUCUGAGAUUCAAGCGCAUACGGGCAGCUAUACCACGGGCCGAGGGAAGAGAUUACUUAUCUCGGUGAUCAUCUGAUGUGAGGCCACCUUAUCUCUACAGAUUACCCCUGAUUCUUAAAUUCCAUCUAUGAGGAACCCCCAGGGGCCACGCUACUGCUGGGAAGGUGUUUUACACUUACAAAGGAAGCUAAGGGCCCGGAAGGCGAAUCACACAUCGACUCCAGUUCAGCCUCUGCCGAUCCAGAAAAUCUUUUUUCAUUUGGAAAAUAUCAAAACAGAAUGCCCCUUUAUUUAAAAGAAGCGACCCCAAAUGCAACAAGGGGUUUUAAUCUGAAACGGUUUCUUAAUUGCUGGAAAGGCAAGCACGUAUAAGUAAUUUGUUAAACUUAUUGGAUUGCAAUAAUCCACUAUCAGGUUAGCUAAGAAUGGAUCUGUCAAGUGUGUUUCCCAGUCUAAACUCUUUCGUUCAAAUCAAUCUGGUUUAAUAAUUAGCAGACAAAGAACCCGAAAUAUGUAAGCAAAUACCUAAAGUUCUGCAUAAAUAAGCAUACUAAUCAAUAGCAAGCUA